GAGUAAUUAUUAUUAAAAGUAUUUUUAUCUGCAAAAUAAAAGGUUUGUUGCUUA
RNAcentral lists this transfer RNA (54 nucleotides) under Pratylenchus vulnus (walnut meadow nematode). RNAcentral's name for it is "tRNA-Cys". The record is from RNAcentral. Lineage: Eukaryota; Metazoa; Nematoda; Chromadorea; Rhabditida; Pratylenchidae.